Molecule: long non-coding RNA, 5585 nt
Organism: Bos indicus x Bos taurus (hybrid cattle)
Lineage: Eukaryota; Metazoa; Chordata; Mammalia; Artiodactyla; Bovidae
Source: Ensembl
AUCACACCCAGUGUUUGCUUUGCGGGGAGCUGAGCUGUUAUGGAGGCGCUGAGCACUCAGCGCGAUGAGAACGGCCCCGGCAAAUCUCCUUUCUUCCCUGGAACUGCCUCACAUCUCAGCAUCCACCUGUGGGGGCGCCUGUGUACUGAGAGCUGACAGAUUUUAAUGGCACCACUCCAGUUCAGUGUAUCACCGCGGACUCUGUGUGAUGUAGGACUGUGCCCAGGAAGGAGUGCGUUAGUUAACAGGGAGCAGCUCAGAGGGUUAGGGUCAAGUUCAGCUUUGCUCCAGCAUCUCCGUUUUCCUGGGACCAGUCGUCGCCCACGGCUGCAUCUGCUCCCUGUGGCAGGAGCAGCAGCGGAGCGAAGGAAACAAAGAAAACAGGCAACUUUCAGUGUUUGAGGUUGAAGUAGGUUGACAUCCAAAAUCCUCUGUGUCCCAAAAUCCGGAUCAGGGCAAGACUCUUCCCUGGCCAGUGGGAAGUCUUGGCAAGUCAUAUGAUCAAGAGCAGGAUGCAUCACUGUCUGGGGUCGGGGGUGAAAUUCAGGAGCAAGAGGAGCUUCCCCAACAAGCUAAGAUGAGAGAAGAAUAUACCCACGUGAAGAGGUCCACCAUCAGCUCUCCGACACCAGCCCCUCUGUUACAUCCCUCCAGGCAGAGACUGGAAUAUUCCUCUUCCUGGCCUGUCCCGGGGAGAGGUCAUGGUCCUGAGCAUUGCUCUUAUGCACACAAACCAGCUGGUUGUACUUCUCUCUUUCUUUUUUUUCCCCCUCCUGACUAUGGUAUCAUUCGCCUUGUUUGCACAUAUUCUGAAUCACCUACUUAAAGGAAAUUUUUCUUGCCCAGAUCUAUGCAUCCUUGUAAGCUACCUAAACGCAAAUGAACAAAAGAGCACAAACCUGCCAAGAUGUAUUUUUAAUGACUUGGCACUCCUUGAGAGAAAGCCCUGGGCAUGUUGCUGCUGCCUGCCAACUCCAUGCCUUUGCUGUGGACGAGCACCCACAGAAGGUAAUCAGUGUGUGAUGAAGGCUGUAACACACAGAGGUGAUGACUCAGGGCUGUCAUGGCCCUUUAGUUACCAACUGCUGGAAGCCUCUACCUCCUCAUCUGUAAAAACAGAGUGUUGCCUAUGAUGCUGAAUUAAAGGCAGCCCAGCAGUGUGCUGAGAGAGUGGUGUUGGAAUCAGACCUAGAAUAUGAAUCCGGGUGGGCACUUCCAUCGCUUCCCCACGCCUCAGUGUCCUCAUCUAAAAAUAGAGGAGAACAGCUCUGAACUUAUAAAAUUACCCCGAGGACACAAUACAUGAGGAUUUGGAAGGGAUUUCGUACAACGACGAGCGUGCGGCACUUCCACUAGGGUUUGAUGGCAUUGGAAUGACUGUCCCUGUUUGUUUUUUAGACCAAACAAUAAACUGUGGUUUGCUGAUGUGUGGUGAGUGGUAGGGUAUUUGUUUUAUCGCUUUUAUUGACUCAGCUGCUGGAGAGAGUUUUGCGCCAGACAGGGACUGCCAAAAAGACUAUACUGGAGUCUGCUGGCUUUCAGUCACCCAGCUCAGAGCCUGUGGUCUGUCACUGUUUUGUCGGUGAUGCCAGGCUCCUGGGAGCACACUGGUGUCCCGGUGUGGGAGGUUAUAAAACGGGCUGCAAAUUCUCCCCUUGUCUGUACCCAUGCCUGCCAUGUUUUGAUGCACAGAGUCUGUUUCUCUGCCUCCUGAGUCUGAGUCGGCCGUGGCACUAGCUUUGGUCAGUGGGAGGUUAGCAAACAUGAAGCAAGCAGGGACUCAAGAGUACUUGUCCACCGGGGCUCUGCCGUGGAGCGUCUGGGAUCCGAAUGCAUGGCGCACCUGGCAGCCGAAGAGAGCCACCCCACCCAACCUCCCCCACUGCUCUUAUCUGGCAUCCAGCUGACCCCUGAAGCAGAGUCAUUAGCUGGUUGGUACUUGACCGCAUGAGCCCAGCUAAGAGAAGAAGAGUGGGCUGGCUGCUGCUGCUGCUAAGUCGCUUCAGUCGCGUCCAACUCUGUGCGACCCCAUGGACUGCAGCCUAUCAGGCUCCUCCGUCCAUGGGAUUUUCCAGGCAAGAGUACUGGAAUGGGGUGCCAUUGCCUUCUCCGGCGGGCUGGCUGAGCCCAGUCCAAAUGGAAACCUACAAAAUCAUGACUCUUGUGUGAUGCUACGAAGUGUGGUUUUCUUAUACAGUUAAAGCUCAUGACACAAUCAGUGCUCCUGGGGAAGACCAUGCAUUUUCCAUCUUGAUGGGGCUCCUCCCACAGGUAUGUGAUAUGUUGAUAAACAGAGUAGGGGGCUGUAUCUGGGUCCCCCCAAACCAUGCUCAUGUUCAGUGGUUCACUAGAAGCAUUCAUAGAACUCAGGAAAGCUGUUCUACUCAUGGUUACAAUUUAUUACAAAACAAGGAUACACAUUAAAAUCACCAAAUGAAACAAGACACACUUCCUGUUGUUCACUCCCCGUGGGGUUGUAUGGCCCACCUUUAGUUCUCUGAACAGCCCUGUGUGACAUCAUGCAAUUUUCUGUGCCCUGAUAAAGGGGAAGAACCCUUCUCUGGCAGGAGAGUAACUCAGACCCAAGAGUCAGAAGGUUCAUGGCUCAGAUGAUGUCACAUGUGUAUUGUGUAUAGAAGCUUUGUGUGGUUGGCGCACAGGUUGCUAUGAACAUCCUAGAAUGCUGUCAUUUACAUGAGAGUGAACAAACCAGCCUUGGGCAAGACUCCUUUUCAGAUCUCUUCAGUCAAGUCUCCCUUCCCCUCACCCUCAGUCUCCUACGUACAGAAUGAGCUGGUCAGAUGAGAUCACCUCCAAGGCCUCAUUUAGUUUCAUGAUGCUCUGACCCUCCAAACCUGAAAUGUCACCUGCAGGACUCACUGACUUGGGGCCUGGAUUCUGACAAUGCCCUUUAAAUGUCAGAGAUUGUAUUUCCUUAGUCAUUAUUCUAAUGAUCUGCUUGUCUUAUUCAUUCCAAAUGGAGAUGUGAUCUAUUUCCAGCCCCCAAGAUAAUCACGUUUUAAUUAAUUUGGAAGAAGGAUCCGGUGGGGGGCGGUUAUCAGUAAUUCCACGUGUCUUCCAUCCCUUGAAAGCAUGAGAGACGUGAACCUUGUGUUCACCCCCUGGUUCAUUCAUUCAACAAACACAUCUGUAGCUCCUGUUGUGCACCAAGCACAGAGCUGUAUACCCAGGGCACAUGGAUGCAGAGAUAUGCCUACAUGGAGCUCACCGGUCAAGGAUGGACAGUGACAAUGAGUGACAGCCAUAGUGCAGGGUGAUCUGUGCUUUGCUGAAGGAAGCAUUUGAUCCUUCAUGAACCCAGAUGGGGCCACCCACCCAGGUUGAGCUCCCCGCCACCCACUGGAGAAUGCUCCCUAAAAAAAGUGAGCUGGGCAUUUAAGAUGAAGACGGCUUGCCAAUGAUGUGGGCUGGGGGGAGGAGAAGAACGGGAGGGUGCACCAGGCAGAAAGGGCAGUGCCUGGCAGGGCGAAAGACAUCAGGAACAUCCACCAAACCGAAGGCAAGUUGGGUGCUUACAGUGGGCCAUUCAACAUACUAGGCUCCUCACUUAAGCCAGCCUGUGGGUUGCUGCUUGCACGAUCUCCUCUCCAUAGAGGAGUAAACUGAGCUCAGGGACCUUACACACAAAAACCAGAGAAAGCAACUCAAGCUAGUUAAAAGCAGAACUUGAUGCUAAGAAUCUCUGUCUGCAAACAAGAGCAGGGGGGAUAUUUGGAGAAGUCCUUCCAUGAGGUUAGAGAGAAAGAAGACAAGUGGGAUCACGUGGGUCUAGGGAGAUAGCUAAGGGCCAGGGAACUGGGAGGGACUUGUGUGAGAGGCUCCAUUUGGCUUUUACUCAAGGAACCAACAACGGACAGAGGAGGAUGUGGUGGUUGGAUGGCAUCGUUGACUCAAAUGACAUGAAUUUGAGCAAACUGGGAGAAAUUGGAGGACAGGGGAAGCCUGUCAUGCUGCAGUCCAUGGGGUCACAAAGAGUCGGACAUGACUGACCAACUGAACAACGUGGAACCAAGCAUGUGCAGUGAUGGGAAUGGAGUCUGGAGCCCAGGUAACACCUGCUGCAGUGACCCAGGGAGAAGUCAGGGGUGUGAAGUCCUCAGGGAGCAGUGAAACAAAGAUACAAGAGGUCAGCCAUGCUGUGUGCGUUCAGAGUCAUCCAGCCUUGGGCUUGACUGUGGGCAAGCCACAGUCUCAAGGACAAACGGGAGUCCCGGAUCCUAGUCACAGCUCAAAUUGCUUGGCUCUCCGACCUUGAGAAAGUGACCUGAACUCUUCAUACCUCCAUUUCCUCGCUGAUUAGUGAAGCUAAGUAGAAUCAACAUUGAGUUGUUGAGGUUUCAUCUAUCUAAUGUAUGCUAUGCAGGAGAUCUGUUGUAUAAUGCAGGAAGAAUAGAGGACAAUUGAAUUAAUAAGUUCAUGAGGGAGUGAACGAAUCAACAAAUGAAAAAUCUUGAAGGGAAAAGGACUAUGGCUAAACCUGAGCCACACCCCGACACCUUCUUCUAGGUCUUGGUAUAUAUCAACAUUCUACGUUUAAAUUCAGCUGCAAUAGCAGGAGACUGCCAGGAUUUGCUCCGAGAUUCUAGUUGUGUGACCUUGGGCAAGAGGCUUGGGUUCCUCUAGGAUUCAGAGGACAGGAUUCUAACUGCUUCAAUUUCAUAGGAUCGUCAUGAGGAUUCAGUGACUUAAUAUACAUAAAGCACAAUAGAACUUAAAAAUUCAAUCCUUUGAAGAUCUAAAAAUGCUUUCGUAAACAUGAGCUCCUGUGACAGUCACAGAUUCUCUUCAUACAUGUAGGUCAGAAGUUUUCAUAGGUGAGAAGGCAGAGGGACAAAUAUAAAGUUAUUUUCCAUUUUUCUGAAGUCAGGAAUACUAGAGUACUGGGCUUCUUAACCCACCUGCAUUACGCCAGUCCAUGUAUCCCCAGGUCACGUUUGAUCAGUUCCUGCUCCUUCUUGAAGGUCACGACUUCAGGCCUUUCCUCCUGUGAAGCUCUCCAUGACCUCCUGAAAAGCUGGAAGUCACUUAUCCAAAGUUCACAUGGCUGAAAUGGGAUAUCCAAGUUGGCAUUCAUACCCUCUCCCCCCAUAACCAGUGUGCCUUUUUUUUUGGCUGUACUACCCCAGCAUGAGGGAUCUUAGUUCCCUGACCAGGAGAACAGGGAUCGAACCGGCACCCCCUGCAGUGGAAGCAUAGGGUUGUAACCACUGGACUGUUAGAGAUGUCUCAACCAGUGUGCUUUUAGAGACACUGAACAUCAUGAAAGACUUGGAAUGGGCAAAAGGGGAUUGGAUAUUUUUCCAACAGAACCCUAGGCAUUAUCUGGGUUUAUCUGAUCAUAUAAGGUUCUGAGUCCCUCAGAGUCUAUAACUGGACUAGUUUACAACUCUAAGUUAUAUAUAUAUAUUUUUUUUAAGACUUUUUUUUUCCAUAGAGAUGUAAAGGAAUUUCAAAUUUUAUCUGGUGGUGAUGUAAUUGACUUCCCCACCCUGAUCCAAUGGAAGAGCUUCCUUCAAACAUUACUUUUGGUUGGAUAGCAACCAGUUAUGUACCUGUUAGCAAAU